AACAAGGCGUACCUGCGGACCUGCGGAGGGAUCAUUACCAGAGUGCCAUAGGCUCUCCAACCCAUUGUGAACAUACCUAUCGUUCCCUCGGCGGGCUCAGCGCGCGGGGCCUCCGGGCUUCCGGGCGUCCGCCGGGGACAACCAAACCCUGAUUUACUACGUGUAUCUCUGAGGGGCGAAAGCCCGAAAACAAAAUAAAUCAAAACUUUCAACAAUGGAUCUCAGAUCGGAAGAGCACAC
RNAcentral lists this unclassified non-coding RNA (240 nucleotides) under soil metagenome. Its description in RNAcentral is "partial contains 5.8S ribosomal RNA, internal transcribed spacer 2, and large subunit ribosomal RNA". The record is from RNAcentral.